This is a long non-coding RNA of Equus quagga, 833 nucleotides long. RefSeq lists it as uncharacterized. The transcript is spliced from 4 exons. The record is from RefSeq and is a predicted model, not a curated record. Lineage: Eukaryota; Metazoa; Chordata; Mammalia; Perissodactyla; Equidae.
UUGCAGUAAGAGCAGCAAGGGUCUGCAGCAGCAACAGGAACCAGUUCUGAGCUGCGAAUGCAGUGGGGUUUCCCCUGCAGCUUCCACCCAUCCUGCCUUGGACAUGCAGGCUCAGAAGUUACGGGGCAAAGAGCACUUCUUACUGCACAUGUCACACUGCGAAAUCAGACUCUGGAGCUGAGUGAUGCUGCCCCGUGGGAGAGCCAGCUUCUCCAGGUCCCACCACCGGCACCCCACACUGAAGUCACACCCAGAGGCCUCUCAGUCUGGCUCAGUGCUUGAGCUGCCCUCUGCGAGACACCCACAGCGCACCCCAGCUGAACCACUACAAUUAAAAUUGCCAGAACCACCAAAUGGCAAGGGAGACUGAUGGAAGCCAGGACCAAGAUCAAAGCCAAAAUCAGAGACCGUGGAGCCAUUAUUAGAGGUGGAGUGGCUUCGAGGAGAGAGGAACUGGGAAGAGGUGGCCAUUAGCAUCAAAGACACCAAGGGACCAGCACCCAAUGCAGCUGAAGGCAAGAUGGCUGGGGGCUGAGUGUGAGAACCCAACUGCACCGUCUACCUGCCGAUCUUGCCUGGACACCGAAUUACCCUGACUUCCCUUCCUCAAGGCCCUGUGGGUGAAGAACGGGCCGGGGAAGGAAGGAAAAGAUGGUUUUUCUAAUAGUGAGCCCACAGAGACAAGCAAAGACACGGACCCAAACUGGUUGGUUAUUUAUUCAUGAAGUCAUUCAUUUAUAGUUUUCUGUAUCUAAAUUCCAGCUAAAAUCUCAUAGUUAAUAAUCAUACAAUCAUGCAAAAGCCCUCGCUGAAAUGGGAUGGUCUUUACUUGA